CCUACGGGGGGCUGCAGUAAGGAAUAUUGGUCAAUGGACGAAAGUCUGAACCAGCCAUGCCGCGUGGAGGAUGAAGGUCCUCUGGCUUGUAAACUUCUUUUAUAUGGGACGAAAAAAGGCUUUUCUAGGUCGUCUGACGGUACCAUAUGAAUAAGCACCGGCUAACUCCGUGCCAGCAGCCGCGGUAAUACGGAGGGUGCCGGCGUUAUCCGGAUUCACUGGGUUGUAGGUGGGUUGAGAUGGGUGUGGAGAAAUCCCCGAGCUUAACUUGGGAACUGCCAUUGAUACUAUCAGUCUUGAAUACCGUGGAGGUCAGCGGAAUAUGUCAUGUAGCGGUGAAAUGCUUAGAUAUGACAGAGAACACCAAUUGCGAAGGCAGCUGGCUACCCGAAUAUUGACACUGAGGCACGAAAGCGUGGGGAUCAAACAGGAUUAGAUAUCCCGGUAGUC
Molecule: ribosomal RNA, 450 nt
Filed under: uncultured bacterium
Lineage: Bacteria
Description: partial 16S ribosomal RNA
Rfam family: Bacterial small subunit ribosomal RNA
Source: RNAcentral